RNAcentral lists this ribosomal RNA (250 nucleotides) under uncultured bacterium. Its description in RNAcentral is "partial 16S ribosomal RNA". It matches the Rfam family "Bacterial small subunit ribosomal RNA", at positions 358 to 624 of the family's 1533-position model. The record is from RNAcentral.
GGAAUUUUCCACAAUGGGCGAAAGCCUGAUGGAGCAACGCCGCGUGCAGGAUGAAGGCUUUUGGGUCGUAAACUGCUUUUAUAUGUGAAGAUUUUGACGGUAGCAUAUGAAUAAGGAUCGGCUAACUCCGUGCCAGCAGCCGCGGUCAUACGGAGGAUCCAAGCGUUAUCCGGAAUUACUGGGCGUAAAGAGUUGCGUAGGUGGCAAAGUAAGUGAGUAAUGAAAUCGUACGGCUCAACCGUAUACCCAU